Molecule: ribosomal RNA, 129 nt
Filed under: Citrobacter freundii
Lineage: Bacteria; Pseudomonadati; Pseudomonadota; Gammaproteobacteria; Enterobacterales; Enterobacteriaceae
Description: partial 23S ribosomal RNA
Rfam family: Bacterial large subunit ribosomal RNA
Source: RNAcentral
AGAUGAGUUCUCCCUGAGACUUUAAGUCUCCUGAAGGAACGUUGAAGACGACGACGUUGAUAGGUCGGGUGUGUAAGCGUAGCGAUACGUUGAGCUAACCGAUACUAAUGAACCGUGAGGCUUAACCUU